AAAGCAUGCCUUUUCUCACCUGAACGCUGCAUUCUCCAACGCAAAGCUUACCCCUCUGAGCUCAACCAUUAAUGGCGGUGGAAUGACCUUCCUAUUUAGGAAUGCCAAUCCUUCCUCCGGUCUCCGCCCCUUUGCCUCCGCCGCUGCCGCCGCCGUUUCGAAUAUCCAUGACAUCGCCCCCCCGUUCCCUCCAGAUUCCCUCCGAUCCCUCAGACAAAGUCCGCCGCUUCUCGCCACCGAUAGAGCGGGAGGAACCUUCCAUCUUCGUUGUUCUCCUUUGUCCCUGCCUCGCUCUCCUGUCUCUUGUCCUCAUCGUCGCUUCCAUCGUCCUUACUAUCAAGCUCCAACUAUACUGCCACCUCCCUAUCUCUCAUCUCAUCUCCCGCCAUCGUUGCCACUCCUCCUGAAACCAACUAGGGUUUUCUCCUCCUCUUCAGAAUCCGAUUCGGAAUCGGAUAACUCGAUAUCUCCGCCGCCGCCGCCGCCGCCGCCGAACUCCAACGAUGUGGAUAGGAUCUGUAAGGUGAUUGACGAGCUCUUCUCGUCCGACCGCAACAUGGAGGUGGUGCUCGACGAGAUCGGAGUCCAGAUCGAAUCAUCCCUUGUUGUCGCUGUUCUGGACCGGUUCCGCCAUGCCCAUCGUCCCGCAUAUCGCUUCUUCCGGUGGGCUGCCGCCCGGCCAGGCUUCUUGCACGACUCAACCACUUGCAAUAAAAUGCUCAGCGUCCUCGGCAAGACGCGGCAGUUUGAGACUAUGGUGGCCCUACUGGAGGAGAUGGGGAAGGACGCCGCUCUUCUAUCCAUGGACGCCUUUAAGAUAUCGGUUAAGGCCUUUGCUGCGGCCCGCGAGAUGAAGAAGUGUAUAGGCAUUUUCAAAUUGAUAAAGAAGUAUGAUUUCCAUGUCGGAUUGGACACUUUCAACUGCUUGAUUGAUGCUCUUUCAAAGGCCAAGCUCGCGAAGGAAGCACAACAAUUGUUAGACAAAAUGAAGGAUCAGUAUCAUCCUGAUAUCCACACUUACACAGCGCUGCUUUAUGGUUUCUGCAAGAUUAAGGACUUGGCUGAGGCUGGUAGAUUAUGGAAUGAGAUACUUGAUAGUGGAUUCAAGCCAGACAUUGUCUCCCACAACACUAUGCUUGAAGGCUUGAUUCGAGGGCAUCGGAGGUCUGAGGCGAUCAAGCUGUUAGAGCUCAUGAAGGCCAAAGGCCCUAAGCCAAAUACCCGAACUUAUACUAUUUUAAUUCAAGAUCUCUGUAAGGCGGGAAAGAUGGAACAGGCUGUUAGCUGUUUUGAUGAAAUGUUGGCUGCUUGUUGCUCGCCAGAUGUUGCGACCUACACAUGUUUAAUAGUUGGGUUUGGAAAUGCUCGGCAGAUGGCUAAAGUUUCAAGCUUGCUCGCAGAGAUGAGUCAAAAGGGAUGCCCGCCAGAUGCUCGAACUUAUAAUGCUCUGAUAAAACUGUUGACGAACCGGAACAUGCCAGAUGAUGCCGUAAGAAUAUACAAGAAGAUGAUAAAAAAUGGGUUUGAGCCUACGAUUCACACUUACAAUAUGUUGAUGAAGUCUUACUUCCAUGGGAAUAAUUACAAGAUGGGUUGUGCAGUUUGGGAGGAAAUGUUAGGCAAGGGGAUUUGUCCUGAUGUUAAUUCUUUUACGGUCUUUAUUGGUGGACAUAUACGUCAUGGAAGGCCUGAAGAGGCAUACAAAUACAUAGAGGAGAUGAUUAACAAAGGGAUGAGUGUCCCCCAGGUGGACUAUAAUAAGUUAGCCGCUGAUUUCUCUAGGGCUGGGAGGCCUGAUGUUCUAAGCGAGCUUGCACAAAAAAUGAAUUUUACAGGAAAGUUUGAUGCAUCAAACACAUUGAACUAUUGGUCUGAGAGAAUGAAGAAGAGAGUUAAAAGGAGAGGACCUUGUCAAUCUGGGCGUGGACUUGUCUGAAUUAUUUUUUCAAUCAUUCUUUAUUAUUUUUGAAUGCCUCACUUCCAGGUGGUAGUGACGAUCUCCCUCAUAGAUCGAUCAUCAGCAUUUUUAUGAAGAAGAAGAUUGUUUACCCAUCUACCAGUGAAUACUAAUGUUACAGCAUCCAAAGAAGAUUGUUUCUUACCCCAACUACCAGAUGAAUACUAAUGUUACAGUAUCCACUGCGACCUCAACGCCCAUCUCAGUACAACAUACUACACCCGCACAGUCACUGACCUUAUCACUCCCCAUCCCCUAUCGAUACCACUCCCUUCUACUCUUAUUAGCUUCAUCAGGCAGCAACACCACUACCAGUCAUGUCAGCCAAGUCCAUCAGCUAUUGCUGAGAUUGGUAUCUCAAAUACUAUGAGACACUCCUACAUCGAGCCAAAUGGGAAUAUUUGCCGUAUAAAAAUAAUUUUGGCGGCUGCUGGAACGUAAUCAACAGAUCAGGCAAAAUAUUGAGAUUAGCAGUGCCACUCGCCUGUGUGAUAUAUUCAUGAACAUAUGCAAGUCAGGAUAGAGACGCCUCUGGAAUGGGAAGGAGGUUAGGCUGAGUUAUGCAAAGUCUGUGUCUCCUCUGUUUAUGUUUGUAAGAGGGAGCAAAGCAAGCAGAAUCAGACAAUAGACUGUGGGGACAUGGGUAGUUUCUUUACACAUUGGAGGUUCGGUUCUACAUACUCAUUAUCAGUGGAGAUUGGUAAGGUGUAAUCACUGUAUAA
RNA transcript from Phalaenopsis equestris, 2679 nucleotides. It is a transcript of the gene named pentatricopeptide repeat-containing protein At3g62470, mitochondrial-like, with no coding region annotated. The transcript is spliced from 3 exons. NCBI's taxonomy places the organism in Eukaryota, Viridiplantae, Streptophyta, Magnoliopsida, Asparagales, Orchidaceae. The record is from RefSeq and is a predicted model, not a curated record.